This 138-nucleotide ribosomal RNA is filed under the name uncultured bacterium. RNAcentral describes it as "partial 16S ribosomal RNA". It matches the Rfam family "Bacterial small subunit ribosomal RNA", at positions 355 to 509 of the family's 1533-position model. The record is from RNAcentral.
UGGGGAAUAUUGCACGAAUGGGGGAAACCCUGAUGCGAGCAACGCCGCGUGAGUGAAGAAGUAUUUCGGUAUGUAAAGCUCUAUCAGCAGGGAAGAAGAUGCGGUACCUGACCAAGAAGCCCCGGCUAACUACGUGCC